GUCUAGUGGUUAGGAUUCGGCGCUCUCACCGCCGCGGCCCGGGUUCGAUUCCCGGUCAGGAAAGUAAGCCGUUUUAAAAACUGUUGCCGCAGGGCUAACCAUAGGUGAUGUUCCCAGAGUCAGCUAUGACUUGACUUCUAAACAAAGGGCAAAACGCACCUGGUGUCCUCAUUUUGCAGAGUAGUUACCUGAAAUGGACUCUACUGCAGUUUAUGCGCGCCGUAUAUGUAGUCAGUG
RNAcentral lists this long non-coding RNA (237 nucleotides) under Homo sapiens (human). RNAcentral's name for it is "LHRI_LNC1645.1". The stretch from base 1 to 63 matches the Rfam family "tRNA", at positions 10 to 71 of the family's 71-position model. Lineage: Eukaryota; Metazoa; Chordata; Mammalia; Primates; Hominidae. The record is from RNAcentral.